AACGAACGCUGGCGGCAUGCCUAACACAUGCAAGUCGAACGAGACCUUCGGGUCUAGUGGCGCACGGGUGCGUAACGCGUGGGAACCUGCCCUUAGGUUCGGAAUAACUCCCCGAAAGGGGUGCUAAUACCGGAUAAUGUCUUCGGACCAAAGGUUUAUCGCCUUUGGGUGGGCCCGCGUUGGAUUAGCUAGUUGGUAGGGUAAAAGCCUACCAAGGCGACGAUCCAUAGCUGGUCUGAGAGGAUGAUCGGCCACACUGGGACUGAGACACGGCCCAGACUCCUACGGGAGGCAGCAGUGGGGAAUAUUGGACAACGGGCGAAAGCCUGAUCCAGCAAUGCCGCGUGAGUUAUGAAGGCCUUAGGGUUGUAAAGCUCUUUUACCCGGGAUGAUAAUGACAGUACCGGGAGAAUAAGCUCCGGCUAACUCCGUG
Molecule: ribosomal RNA, 433 nt
Filed under: uncultured bacterium
Lineage: Bacteria
Description: partial 16S ribosomal RNA
Rfam family: Bacterial small subunit ribosomal RNA
Source: RNAcentral